GGCAUUGAGCGUCAGCGUCAAGCCCUGGCUCGCUGACCGGCAACCCUCCUCCGCGGUGGGGUGCUCCAGGUGAAAGCCCGGCGUGGUCGCCCGACCCCGCAAGCGCGAACC
Molecule: non-coding RNA, 111 nt
Filed under: Streptomyces sp.
Lineage: Bacteria; Bacillati; Actinomycetota; Actinomycetes; Kitasatosporales; Streptomycetaceae
Also listed under: 1 other name
Description: SAM-IV sequence
Rfam family: SAM (S-adenosyl methionine) riboswitch aptamer
About the family: SAM-IV is a mRNA element that regulates gene expression via direct sensing of S-adenosylmethionine (SAM or AdoMet). SAM-IV riboswitches share conserved nucleotide positions with the previously described SAM-I riboswitches sequence analysis and molecular recognition experiments suggest that SAM-I and SAM-IV riboswitches share similar ligand binding sites, but have different scaffolds.
Source: RNAcentral